UGAUCAGGUUGAUAGGUCAGAGGUGGAAGCGCGGUAACGUGUGGAGCUGACUGAUACUAAUCGAUCGAGGACUUAACCUUA
This 81-nucleotide ribosomal RNA is filed under the name Mesobacillus persicus. Its description in RNAcentral is "Bacillus persicus 23S rRNA. Bacterial LSU". It matches the Rfam family "Bacterial large subunit ribosomal RNA", at positions 2845 to 2925 of the family's 2925-position model. Lineage: Bacteria; Bacillati; Bacillota; Bacilli; Caryophanales; Bacillaceae. The record is from RNAcentral.